GAAUUGAAAGUUUUUUUUUUAAAGUUUUUUUUUCGUAGAUUGAACGCUGGCGGCAGGCCUAACACAUGCAAGUCGAGCGGAAACGAGUUAUCUGAACCUUCGGGGAACGAUAACGGCGUCGAGCGGCGGACGGGUGAGUAAUGCCUAGGAAAUUGCCCUGAUGUGGGGGAUAACCAUUGGAAACGAUGGCUAAUACCGCAUAAUACCUACGGGUCAAAGAGGGGGACCUUCGGGCCUCUCGCGUCAGGAUAUGCCUAGGUGGGAUUAGCUAGUUGGUGAGGUAAUGGCUCACCAAGGCGACGAUCCCUAGCUGGUCUGAGAGGAUGAUCAGCCACACUGGAACUGAGACACGGUCCAGACUCCUACGGGAGGCAGCAGUGGGGAAUAUUGCACAAUGGGCGCAAGCCUGAUGCAGCCAUGCCGCGUGUGUGAAGAAGGCCUUCGGGUUGUAAAGCACUUUCAGUCGUGAGGAAGGUAGUGUAGUUAAUAGCUGCAUUAUUUGACGUUAGCGACAGAAGAAGCACCGGCUAACUCCGUGCCAGCAGCCGCGGUAAUACGGAGGGUGCGAGCGUUAAUCGGAAUUACUGGGCGUAAAGCGCAUGCAGGUGGUUUGUUAAGUCAGAUGUGAAAGCCCGGGGCUCAACCUCGGAAUAGCAUUUGAAACUGGCAGACUAGAGUACUGUAGAGGGGGGUAGAAUUUCAGGUGUAGCGGUGAAAUGCGUAGAGAUCUGAAGGAAUACCGGUGGCGAAGGCGGCCCCCUGGACAGAUACUGACACUCAGAUCGAAAGAGCGC
This 794-nucleotide ribosomal RNA is filed under the name Vibrio harveyi. RNAcentral's name for it is "bacterial SSU rRNA". It matches the Rfam family "Bacterial small subunit ribosomal RNA", at positions 1 to 764 of the family's 1533-position model. Lineage: Bacteria; Pseudomonadati; Pseudomonadota; Gammaproteobacteria; Vibrionales; Vibrionaceae. The record is from RNAcentral.